This 1732-nucleotide ribosomal RNA is filed under the name Streptomyces scabiei. Its description in RNAcentral is "bacterial LSU rRNA". It matches the Rfam family "Bacterial large subunit ribosomal RNA", at positions 1214 to 2823 of the family's 2925-position model. The record is from RNAcentral. Lineage: Bacteria; Bacillati; Actinomycetota; Actinomycetes; Kitasatosporales; Streptomycetaceae.
GCCUGCUGGGAUGGGUAGGGGAGCGUCGUGUGCCGGGUGAAGCCGCGCCGGAAGGCAGUGGUGGACGGUUCACGAGUGAGAAUGCAGGCAUGAGUAGCGAUACAAACGUGAGAAACGUUUGCGCCGAUUGACCAAGGGUUCCUGGGUCAAGCUGAUCUGCCCAGGGUAAGUCGGGACCUAAGGCGAGGCCGACAGGCGUAGUCGAUGGAUAACCGGUUGAUAUUCCGGUACCCGCUGUGAAGCGUCAAACAUCGAACCAGGCGAUGCUAAGUCCGUGAAGCCGCCCCGGAGCCUUCGGGCAAAGGGGAGUGGUGGAGCCGACGAACCAGACUUGCAGUAGGUGAGUGAUGGGGUGACGCAGGAAGGUAGUCCAUCCCGGGCGGUGGUUGUCCCGGGGUAAGGGUGUAGGCCGUGAUCUAGGUAAAUCCGGAUCACACAAGGCUGAGACCUGAUGCCGAGCCGAUUGUGGUGAAGUGGAUGAUCCUAUGCUGUCGAGAAAAGCCUCUAGCGAGUUUCAUGGCGGCCCGUACCCUAAACCGACUCAGGUGGUCAGGUAGAGAAUACCGAGGCGUUCGGGUGAACUAUGGUUAAGGAACUCGGCAAAAUGCCCCCGUAACUUCGGGAGAAGGGGGGCCAUCACCGGUGAUAGCACUUGCUGCUUGAGCUGGGGGUGGCCGCAGAGACCAGCGAGAAGCGACUGUUUACUAAAAACACAGGUCCGUGCGAAGCCGUAAGGCGAUGUAUACGGACUGACGCCUGCCCGGUGCUGGAACGUUAAGGGGACCGGUUAGUCACUCUUCGGGGUGGCGAAGCUGAGAACUUAAGCGCCAGUAAACGGCGGUGGUAACUAUAACCAUCCUAAGGUAGCGAAAUUCCUUGUCGGGUAAGUUCCGACCUGCACGAAUGGCGUAACGACUUCUCGACUGUCUCAACCAUAGGCCCGGUGAAAUUGCACUACGAGUAAAGAUGCUCGUUUCGCGCAGCAGGACGGAAAGACCCCGGGACCUUUACUACAGUUUGAUAUUGGUGUUCGGUUCGGCUUGUGUAGGAUAGCUGGGAGACUGUGAAGCUCGGACGCCAGUUCGGGUGGAGUCGUCGUUGAAAUACCAGUCUGGUCGUGCUGGAUGUCUAACCUGGGUCCGUGAUCCGGAUCAGGGACAGUGUCUGAUGGGUAGUUUAACUGGGGCGGUUGCCUCCCAAAGGGUAACGGAGGCGCCCAAAGGUUCCCUCAGCCUGGUUGGCAAUCAGGUGGUGAGUGUAAGUGCACAAGGGAGCUUGACUGUGAGACCGACGGGUCGAGCAGGGACGAAAGUCGGGACUAGUGAUCCGGCGGUGGCUUGUGGAAGCGCCGUCGCUCAACGGAUAAAAGGUACCCCGGGGAUAACAGGCUGAUCUUCCCCAAGAGUCCAUAUCGACGGGAUGGUUUGGCACCUCGAUGUCGGCUCGUCGCAUCCUGGGGCUGGAGUCGGUCCCAAGGGUUGGGCUGUUCGCCCAUUAAAGCGGUACGCGAGCUGGGUUUAGAACGUCGUGAGACAGUUCGGUCCCUAUCCGCUGCGCGCGCAGGAAUAUUGAGAAGGGCUGUCCCUAGUACGAGAGGACCGGGACGGACGAACCUCUGGUGUGCCAGUUGUUCUGCCAAGGGCAUGGCUGGUUGGCUACGUUCGGGAGGGAUAACCGCUGAAAGCAUCUAAGCGGGAAGCCUGCUUCGAGAUGAGUAUUCCCACCCACUUGA